GCUGGGUUCAGAACGUCGUGAGACAGUUCGGUCCAUAUCCGGUGUAGGCGUUAGAAUAUUGAGAGGGGUUCUUCCUAGUACGAGAGGACCGGAAGGAACGCACCGCUAGUGUACCAGUUAUUGUGCCAACGGUAAACGCUGGGUAGCUAUGUGCGGCAAGAAUAACUGCUGAAAGCAUCUAAGUAGGAAGUCUUCCUCAAGAUGAGUAUUCUCUCCAUUUUAAAUGGGUAAGGUCACGGUAAGACUAACCGUUUUAUAGGUACCAAGUAUAAGUGCAGCAAUGUAUUCAGCUGAGGUAUACUAACAGACCGA
This 312-nucleotide ribosomal RNA is filed under the name Dolichomastix tenuilepis. Its description in RNAcentral is "partial Bacterial large subunit ribosomal RNA". It matches the Rfam family "Bacterial large subunit ribosomal RNA", at positions 2604 to 2912 of the family's 2925-position model. The record is from RNAcentral. Lineage: Eukaryota; Viridiplantae; Chlorophyta; Mamiellophyceae; Dolichomastigales; Dolichomastigaceae.